This 776-nucleotide ribosomal RNA is filed under the name uncultured Neocallimastigales. RNAcentral's name for it is "partial large subunit ribosomal RNA". It matches the Rfam family "Eukaryotic large subunit ribosomal RNA", at positions 24 to 628 of the family's 3401-position model. The record is from RNAcentral. Lineage: Eukaryota; Fungi; Neocallimastigomycota; Neocallimastigomycetes; Neocallimastigales.
UAUCUCUGUAGAGUCUGCAUAUCAAUAAGCGGAGGAAAAGAAACUAACUAAGGAUUCCCUCAGUAACGGCGAGUGAAGCGGGAAGAGCUCAAAUUUGAAAUCUUCAAGGUUCUACCUUGACGAAUUGUAGGUUUAAAGAAGUGUUUUCUGUUGAAGUUUCGGUAAAAGUUCUUUGGAAUAGGACAUCAUAGAGGGUGAGAAUCCCGUAUUUGACCAGUUAUUUCCAGCUGUGUGAUACACUUUCAAAGAGUCGGAUUGUUUGGGAAUGCAGUCCAAAAUGGGUGGUAAAUUUCAUCUAAAGCUAAAUAUUGGCGAGAGACCGAUAGCGAACAAGUACCGUGAGGGAAAGAUGAAAAGAACUUUGAAAAGAGAGUUAAACAGUACGUGAAAUUGUCAAAAGGGAAGCGUUUGACACCAGUGUUGUUUUCUCGAAAAUCAAUUAAAAAAGUUGGAUUUUGUAUUGUUAAGACCUUAUCAGCUUACUGUACUCUUUUCUUGCUUUUUUUAAUGCACUUUUCGUUUAACAAGUCAACAUCAAUUUCUUUUGUUGUAAAAGAGUCAUUGGAAGGUGGCUUUCACUUCGGUGAAAGUGUUUAUAGCCUUUGGCUUCUGCAAUCGGAGAGAUUGAGGUCUGCAGCGUAGAUCCUUCGGGGCUAGAUACGUAGAUGCUAAGUUAUAGUUUUUUAUAGACAACUUGUUGACUAUAAUUAAUCAUGUAGCUUACUCGUUUGCGCUAUUUUACCUACGCUUAGGAUGUUGAUAGUCACAGCGUGUAC